This 233-nucleotide ribosomal RNA is filed under the name uncultured bacterium. RNAcentral describes it as "partial 16S ribosomal RNA". It matches the Rfam family "Bacterial small subunit ribosomal RNA", at positions 284 to 524 of the family's 1533-position model. The record is from RNAcentral.
CGCCCGCCGCGCGCGGCGGGCGGGGCGGGGGCACGGGGGGCCUACGGGAGGCAGCAGUGGGGAAUAUUGGACAAUGGGCGAAAGCCUGAUCCAGCAAUGCCGCGUGUGUGAAGAAGGCCUUCGGGUUGUAAAGCUCUUUAGGCUGGAAAGAAAAAGCUUGGGCGAAUAACUCAAGUCUUGACGGUACCAGCAGAAUAAGCACCGGCUAACUCUGUGCCAGCAGCCGCGGUAAU